RNAcentral lists this ribosomal RNA (253 nucleotides) under uncultured bacterium. RNAcentral describes it as "partial 16S ribosomal RNA". It matches the Rfam family "Bacterial small subunit ribosomal RNA", at positions 524 to 776 of the family's 1533-position model. The record is from RNAcentral.
UACGAAGGGGGCUAGCGUUGUUCGGAAUUACUGGGCGUAAAGCGUGCGCAGGCGGUGAUGCAAGACAGAUGUGAAAUCCCCGGGCUUAACCUGGGAACUGCAUUUGUGACUGCAUUGCUGGAGUGCGGCAGAGGGGGAUGGAAUUCCGCGUGUAGCAGUGAAAUGCGUAGAUAUGCGGAGGAACACCGAUGGCGAAGGCAAUCCCCUGGGCCUGCACUGACGCUCAUGCACGAAAGCGUGGGGAGCAAACAGG